Molecule: ribosomal RNA, 488 nt
Filed under: uncultured bacterium
Lineage: Bacteria
Description: partial 16S ribosomal RNA
Rfam family: Bacterial small subunit ribosomal RNA
Source: RNAcentral
GAUGAACGCUAGCGGCAGGCCUAAUACAUGCAAGUCGGACGGGAUCCAUUGAUAGCUUGCUAUCAAUGGUGAGAGUGGCGCACGGGUGCGUAACGCGUGAGCAACCUGCCUCCAUCAGGGGGAUAGCCUCUCGAAAGAGAGAUUAACACCGCAUAAUAUCAACAGUUCGCAUGUUCAGUUGAUUAAAUAUUUAUAGGAUGGAGAUGGGCUCGCGUGACAUUAGCUAGUUGGUAGGGUAACGGCUUACCAAGGCGACGAUGUCUAGGGGCUCUGAGAGGAGGAUCCCCCACACUGGUACUGAGACACGGACCAGACUCCUACGGGAGGCAGCAGUAAGGAAUAUUGGUCAAUGGGCGGAAGCCUGAACCAGCCAUGCCGCGUGCAGGAUGACUGCCCUAUGGGUUGUAAACUGCUUUUGUCCAGGAAUAAACCUAAAUACGAGUAUUUAGCUGAAUGUACUGGAAGAAUAAGGAUCGGCUAACUCCGUG